RNAcentral lists this ribosomal RNA (547 nucleotides) under Listeria monocytogenes. RNAcentral's name for it is "partial 23S ribosomal RNA". It matches the Rfam family "Bacterial large subunit ribosomal RNA", at positions 1419 to 1962 of the family's 2925-position model. The record is from RNAcentral. Lineage: Bacteria; Bacillati; Bacillota; Bacilli; Caryophanales; Listeriaceae.
UGGACAACAGGUAGAGAUUCCUGUACCAGUGCUAAUUGUUUAACCGAUGGGGUGACACAGAAGGAUAGGGAAUCGCACGAAUGGAAAUGUGCGUCCAAGCAGUGAGUGUGAGAAGUAGGCAAAUCCGCUUCUCGCGAAGCAUGAGCUGUGAUGGGGAAGGAAAUUAAGUACGGAAGUUCCUGAUUUCACGCUGUCAAGAAAAGCCUCUAGGAAGAGUAGUACUGCCCGUACCGCAAACCGACACAGGUAGAUGAGGAGAGAAUCCUAAGGUGAGCGAGAGAACUCUCGUUAAGGAACUCGGCAAAAUGACCCCGUAACUUCGGGAGAAGGGGUGCUCUAUUAGGGUGCAAGCCCGAGAGAGCCGCAGUGAAUAGGCCCAGGCGACUGUUUAGCAAAAACACAGGUCUCUGCAAAACCGUAAGGUGACGUAUAGGGGCUGACGCCUGCCCGGUGCUGGAAGGUUAAGAGGAGUGCUUAGCUUCGGCGAAGGUACGAAUUGAAGCCCCAGUAAACGGCGGCCGUAACUAUAACGGUCCUAAGGUAGCGA